CUGUAUGUAGCUUAGUGGUAAAGCCUGGGUUUUUGACGCCCUGUUUCGUAGGUUCGAUUCCUAACGUACAAA
RNAcentral lists this transfer RNA (72 nucleotides) under Polytoma uvella. RNAcentral's name for it is "tRNA-Gln". It matches the Rfam family "tRNA". Rfam says of the family: Transfer RNA (tRNA) molecules are approximately 80 nucleotides in length. Their secondary structure includes four short double-helical elements and three loops (D, anti-codon, and T loops). Lineage: Eukaryota; Viridiplantae; Chlorophyta; Chlorophyceae; Chlamydomonadales; Chlamydomonadaceae. The record is from RNAcentral.